UACACUCGCACGCGUUUCGGUGCUCGCGCGUGCGUUCCUGCACGCGCAGUUAAACGGGAAACAGGGAGUGCGGCUGCCCCGCAGUCGAGCCAACCUGUGCUGCCCCCGCAACGGUAAGCGAACGCAUCGCUCCGCGAUGCAGCGCCGCUUCGCCGCACGCCACGCGCGUGCGGACGACGCCACUGGAUGCCUCGCGUAUCCGGGAAGGCGAAGCGGCGUGUUCGUCAGCCCGGAUACCGGCCGAGACGAGGGGUACAGC
Molecule: non-coding RNA, 259 nt
Filed under: Burkholderia multivorans
Lineage: Bacteria; Pseudomonadati; Pseudomonadota; Betaproteobacteria; Burkholderiales; Burkholderiaceae
Also listed under: 1 other name
Source: RNAcentral